GGAGCUUUGGCGCAGCGGUAGCGCGUGUGAUUCCAGUCCACAAGGUCAUCGGUUCAAAUCCGAUAAGCUUCA
RNAcentral lists this transfer RNA (72 nucleotides) under Clonostachys rosea. RNAcentral's name for it is "Bionectria ochroleuca tRNA". It matches the Rfam family "tRNA". Rfam says of the family: Transfer RNA (tRNA) molecules are approximately 80 nucleotides in length. Their secondary structure includes four short double-helical elements and three loops (D, anti-codon, and T loops). Further hydrogen bonds mediate the characteristic L-shaped molecular structure. tRNAs have two regions of fundamental functional importance: the anti-codon, which is responsible for specific mRNA codon recognition, and the 3' end, to which the tRNAs corresponding amino acid is attached (by aminoacyl-tRNA synthetases). tRNAs cope with the degeneracy of the genetic code in two manners: having more than one tRNA (with a specific anti-codon) for a particular amino acid; and 'wobble' base-pairing, i.e. permitting non-standard base-pairing at the 3rd anti-codon position. RNAcentral also lists the same sequence under 5 other names. Lineage: Eukaryota; Fungi; Ascomycota; Sordariomycetes; Hypocreales; Bionectriaceae. The record is from Rfam by way of RNAcentral.